CGUGCAGACAUCUACAACCUUCGAUCUCCUGACGAGUUUAUUGUUGGCCAAAACCAGGCUUUGAUUGAACCAGGAUGAAUGCGGGUGUUGGAAGUAGAAUAUAUAUAUACAUAUAAAAUUGGUAAGUGGUGCCAACACGUCUUCCCUGGCUGAGUAGACACAGGCUCUGGAGGGGGUAGUAGCUGCUUUUCAGUGUGGGUUUGUCACCCUACUUCUUGUACGACUCAAAUGUGGCCUUUGCAGCUGAUGAUACAGCUUCUUUCCCCAUCAGAUCGACCCUGUUGAUCUCUACACUAUUGGCCAGUUUUGUCUGAUGCAUUGGCCCCAGUAAUAACUCCUAUCUUUGUUUUCUGCUUAUCUUUAUCAGAGACUAUUGCUUGUUCAUGGGAACUGGGCUUUCUCUAUUUUUUCCAGCAUUCAGAUGGCUUCUUUUGACCUGUUAACUUUCUAUAGGUUGGGAGCCACGUGUACCAGUGUGUGUUGAUCUUGGCUUGAUUCAGUCUGCCUUGUAACAGGUGAGGUUUCUGCUUUCUAUCUGCCAAACCCCACCGCAAAAUUUGUCCAACUGGGCCUAACCUCAGGACCCAUUUCCAAGUUGGGUAUAAAACUGGGAGAAUAAGUCAUUAGGACUGACAUUGGCCUGUUGGUAUUACUAGGUCUUUGUUGGAAAUAAGAGCUUGGAGUUCCAAAGAAAACGAGCACUUGAACAAAAGAUUUCUCAGCAAGGCAAAU
Molecule: long non-coding RNA, 732 nt
Organism: Homo sapiens (human)
Lineage: Eukaryota; Metazoa; Chordata; Mammalia; Primates; Hominidae
Gene: ZFAS1
Product: ZNFX1 antisense RNA 1
Source: Ensembl